GUGGGGAAUAUUGGACAAUGGGGGCAACCCUGAUCCAGCCAUGCCGCGUGUGUGAAGAAGGCUUUCGGGUUGUAAAGCACUUUCAGUGAGGAGGAAAACCUUAUGGCUAAUACCCAUGAGGCUUGACGUUACUCACAGAAGAAGCACCGGCUAACUCCGUGCCAGCAGCCGCGGUAAUACGGAGGGUGCAAGCGUUAAUCGGAAUUACUGGGCGUAAAGCGCGCGUAGGUGGUUUGAUAAGCGAGAUGUGAAAGCCCCGGGCUUAACCUGGGAACGGCAUUUCGAACUGUCAGGCUAGAGUGUGGUAGAGGGUAGUGGAAUUUCCUGUGUAGCGGUGAAAUG
This 342-nucleotide ribosomal RNA is filed under the name Marinobacter sp. MG-7. RNAcentral's name for it is "bacterial SSU rRNA". It matches the Rfam family "Bacterial small subunit ribosomal RNA", at positions 354 to 688 of the family's 1533-position model. Lineage: Bacteria; Pseudomonadati; Pseudomonadota; Gammaproteobacteria; Pseudomonadales; Marinobacteraceae. The record is from RNAcentral.